RNAcentral lists this long non-coding RNA (625 nucleotides) under Monodelphis domestica (gray short-tailed opossum). Its description in RNAcentral is "lncRNA (ENSMODG00000037150.1)". Lineage: Eukaryota; Metazoa; Chordata; Mammalia; Didelphimorphia; Didelphidae. The record is from RNAcentral.
ACUCUUGUAUGGAAUGCUUAACAUAGUAUGUGGCACAUAGUAAGACUUUAAUUCAUCUAUCACCUAUUUUUCCACUUACAUAUCUAAUCAAUAAUUUAUGGCAUGUUUAUUAGAUAGCCUCAAAUUGCUAAGUUAAGAAUCUACCUGAUUCUUGAAUUGAAGAAUUUAUCUCACAAUAAUGCUCCAUAGUGCCUACAAUCUGAAUCUCUUCUCUUUUCUUGGCCAUUCAGGAUUUAUCAUGCUCAGAACAAAAAGUUUACUUUAAAAAAAAUGUUAAACACUGCAAUGUUAAGAAAAUAGCAAGGAAUGAUCAGCAUAAAACCCAUUAAAUAUCAUCACUAUCCUGGAUCACUCUCCCCACAUCUCCCAGUUCCUAGUCCUCAACCACAGGCAGAACAUAAGACUUGCCAGUUGACAAACCCAGAAGGCAUCGCUUUCUUAUAUUUGUGCACUGAUAUUUCAUCAUUAGACAGAUAAAUAUCCUUUGGGUCCUCCAGCCACAGAAGCUCCCACAAAGGAUGAGGUCUAAUGUGAGUCAUGACCACACCAAGUCCUCAAGUCUGACCUGCACAGGAAUGGAGAAAGUAUCAAUAAAUACAUCUCUACAGCAAGAUGGGAUGUGACU